This 2214-nucleotide long non-coding RNA is filed under the name Homo sapiens (human). Its description in RNAcentral is "non-protein coding lnc-UTP11-1:1". Lineage: Eukaryota; Metazoa; Chordata; Mammalia; Primates; Hominidae. The record is from RNAcentral.
CUGCCCGGCCGCCCAGAGCUCUCCAUUGGGCGUCGCUCCCGGGGUCCCGCGCGCCGGCCGUGCUGAUUGGCCGCUGGGGCUUCAUUCACGGCCCCCCUACCGUCCGCGUACACACUCACGCCCCGGGGGCGCGGCCGCCACGUGGGGAGUGGCGCGGGGGUGGCCCUGGGACCGCACCCCCUCUCGUCCUGGCUGUGUGGGCCCCGCUUUCCCCCAGCGCUGGAGACUCCGAGCCCGGCCGGUCCCACAUUCCACGCGAGCUGAAUUCCCGCCCGCAUCCCGCCCGGGCAGCAGGGAUUGCCGGCUCCGGGAGGCGCUCGGGCUCCGAGAAGCGGCUCAGCCCCGCGCCCCUCCCUCCUCAGUACCGCUGCCGGCGGACCAGGAUUCCCGCGGGUCCUGGCGGCUGCGAGCGCGAGGCGGCGCGGAUUCGCGGCUCGGUUCCGGCGCGACUGCUCACCGCGCCCGCCUCGCCUCCCGCGGCUGCCAGCGUGCACUGGGCGCUCCUCGGCGCGUCUGCCCGGCCCGUCUCGGCUUUCCUUCUCCUUCCUCUAGUCCCAGCGUCACAACUCCGCCGACCUCCUCUGCCCUGAGAGCGCGUCCGGUGCGGGCGGAGUCGGACGGACUCUGGCUUCACGCCUCGCGCGGGCACACCUUCUCCCGGGCACUGAGGCCCAGGACUGUGAGCUCUGGGGCUCCGGGACUGGAUCUGCUUCACCUCUAUCCCCCAGCACCCAGCUCAAUUCCCGGUCUAUAGUACUCACCAAUAAAGAAUGCCUGUUGAAUGACCAUAGGUUGUGCCCCUGUGAUCUCAUUUCCUUCUUUUUUAAAAAUGAGGGCUUAGAGGGAUACUGUAGACACUGGUUUGCAGUCUCAGAAGAAGUGGGCUUCAGAGAAGAGGGCAUGUCUUUUUCAUACCUGGUUGGUUGACUGUAGCCAAAAGCGCUGGGUAAUGGACCCAGAGUGCCCUGGACAAGAGCCUGGUGGAGGCUUGUCCUGCCCAAGGUUCUUUAUCGGUGAAGUGAAGUGAAGGUCAGGGGGCAGCAAUGAAUCCAGACAUAAUAGCCUCUCUGUGGGCUGCAGGGAUGGGACUAAGUCUAAUAAGGAGGACUGUGUCGGGCAAAUGUCAGGACCUUGACCUGGGACCAAACCCAACUCCUUGGGGGCAGGUGGGAGAAUAGAGGCCUGGCUCAGCACGAAUGGAGAAGUUACAGGGUUCCUAGGUAUGCUCGUCUUGCCAGAGAGAGAAAGUCACAAAAAGUUUUAUCAAUAUCAACGUUGUAUCCAGAGCAAGGUGCUCUCACUGGUCAGGACACCCUGGCACCUGGCCAGCUUCAGAGGGACAUGGAUCCCUAGGAAUGUGUAUGGGGAGAAAGGCCAGAAUAGGGGGGCAUGUGGAACCAUGAAGAGGUAGCUGAGAAGUGAAUGUUCCGAGGACAUGGUCUCUGCUUUUGUGUCUUUUAUUCCACCAAAUAGGAAUAUCUUUAUGUUUUUGCUGAUGAUAAAAACAAUACAAGCUCAUUUGUAAACACUAGAAAAGUAGUAUACAAAAUAGAAAAUGGAAGUCCUCCAUCAGCCUCUCUGCCUCAUUCCUCAUAACUACUCCUGGUGGCUAUAUCUUUCCAGACCUUUUUUUUGUGUGGACACACAGUACUUAAUAAUAGUAGCUUAGGUUUAUUGAGGGUUUAUGAUGUGCAGGUACUGUGCUAAAUGCUUCUACCUGAAUUUACGCAUUGCAUCCUCACAAAAACAUUAUGGGUUAGCUGCAACUAUUAUUCCCAUUUUACAAAUGAAGAAACUGAGGCUCAGAGAGUUGAACUCAAACUUGCCAGGGUUAUCCAGGUAGUAAUCUAUAUCGUUAUCUGUGGAUCUAUUAUGUACAGAUAUAUAGAUAGAUAGAGAUAUGAAUUCUUUUGGCAGAAGAUGGGACCACAGUGCAUAUAGUGUUUUAUAGUGUUUUGUAACUUGUUCUUUUUUGUUGUUGUUGUCGAGACGGAGUGUUGCUCUGCUGCCCAGGGUGGAGUGCAGUGGCGCAAUCUUGGCUCACUUCAACCUCCACCUCCUGGAUUCAAGCAAUUCUCCUGCCUCAGCCUCCCGAGUAGCUGGGAUUACAGGUGCCUGCCACCACACCGGCUAAUUUUUGUGUUUUUAGUAGAGAUAGGAUUUUACCACGUUGGCCAGGCUAGUCUCGAACAUGUGACCUCAGGUGAUCCGCCU